This 493-nucleotide ribosomal RNA is filed under the name uncultured bacterium. RNAcentral's name for it is "partial 16S ribosomal RNA". It matches the Rfam family "Bacterial small subunit ribosomal RNA", at positions 29 to 523 of the family's 1533-position model. The record is from RNAcentral.
AUUGAACGCUGGCGGCAUGCUUUACACAUGCAAGUCGAACGGUAACAGGUUAAGCUGACGAGUGGCGAACGGGUGAGCAAUGCAUCGGAACGUGCCCGAUCGUGGGGGAUAACGCAGCGAAAGCUGCGCUAAUACCGCAUACGAUCUGAGGAUGAAAGCGGGGGACCGUAAGGCCUCGCGCGAUCGGAGCGGCCGAUGUCAGAUUAGGUAGUUGGUGGGGUAAAGGCUCACCAAGCCAACGAUCUGUAGCUGGUCUGAGAGGACGACCAGCCACACUGGGACUGAGACACGGCCCAGACUCCUACGGGAGGCAGCAGUGGGGAAUUUUGGACAAUGGGCGAAAGCCUGAUCCAGCAAUGCCGCGUGCAGGAAGAAGGCCUUCGGGUUGUAAACUGCUUUUGUACGGAGCGAAAAGGCUCUCUCUAAUACAGGGGGCUCAUGACGGUACCGUAAGAAUAAGCACCAGCUAACUACGUGCCAGCAGCCGCGGUAA